AUAAAAAUUCUCAUUAAAAAACAAAAAUGGUCAGACUGGACAAGACAAAAUAAACAGACAAAAAAAAAAAAAAAAAACCCAAACCAAACUGAAACUCAAUUCAAUGUUGUACACAAGUGCAUGGUGGACAUUACAAGAAUUCAGAAAAGUUGAAAAUAAAAGGAUGGAAAAUGACAUAACAUGUAUAUAUUAGCUAAGUCAAAGCUCAGUUACCUAUAUAUCAGACAAAGUCGACUUUAAGGCAACAAGCAUUACUAAGAAUCAAAAGAGAUGUUUCAUAAAAAGAAAUGGUCAUUCCAACAUAAGGAUAUCACAAUUAUAUACCUAGUAAGAUGUAAGGCAAUACCGAAGAACAAACUGGAAAAAUAUAAAAAUAUGCAGUUAUAUUAACUAAAAAUUUAAGAAAUUAAUAUGCAAUUAUAGUAGGAUAUUUUAACACCCUUACUUCAGUAACUGACAGAACUAGUGACCAAAAACCAUUAAGUUAAUCAAACAGGAUGAAGAUUUGAACAUAAUCAAUAAAACUGACCUCUUUGAUGUACAUAGAGCAUUGCACUCAACAAUUGCGCAUGGAACUCUUACCAAAACUGACCAUAUACUGGGCGAUAAAGUUUCAAGAAAUUUCAGAUAAAUUAAAUCAUACAGAAUAUGGUUUAUGAUCAUAGCAGAAUUAAGCUAUUAAUUCAAAGCUAAAGAUAAAUAGAAUAUUUUCUGCUUAGAAAUGGAUCAAAUAAAAUAUAUUUAAAUGCAUGUCAAAGAAAAACUAGUGGAAAUUAGAAAAUAUGUUGAAUGGUGAUAAAUAGAACAGGUCAAAGCUUGUGGGAUGCAGUUAAAAAGCCAUUCGUAGGUAGUUUUAAAUACAUAUGUUAGAAAAGAAAGGAAGGAAAUUGGUGAUCUAACCAUCCAUCUCAGGGAGUUAGAAAAAGAACAGCCAAUUAAACGUGAAGACAUUAACACAAAUCAAUGAAACAGAAAACAAAAUGUACAACAGAGAAAAUAAAAUAGAUAAAACCAAAGACAGUAGUUAGUUCUGUAAAUAAUGCACCAUAAUUGAUAACACUUGGGUAAGACUAAUGAAAGACAUGGACGAAGGUAUAAAUGACCACUAUCAGGAGUGAAAAAUGCUACAGAUACUGCAGAAUUUUAAAAACUUUUAAAAAGAUAUCAUGAACAAUUUGUGCCAACAAAUUGGAAAAUUUAGAUGCAAUCAAUUAAUUUCUUGAAAAAUACAGCACCCAGUAACUGAUACAAAACAAUGGGAAAGUCUAUUGAAGAAAAAUUAAAUCCCUAACUUAAAUCUCAGAUAGCUUACCCAAAUAGUUCUUUUAAACAUUUCAGGAGGGAAGAAGAUUUACCAUACCAAUGCACUGGUGGUUGAAACAAUCUGUACGAUCGUUUUGGGAAACUAUUUGGUAGUAUCUCCUAUAGCAGAAUGGACCCAUGCCAUAUAACCCAACAGUUUCUCUAAGUUUAUACUUAGGAGAUGUCACAGCAACGUUAUUUAUAGUGGCCAAUAAUUGGAAACAGUUUAAAUGUCAGUUCACAUUAGAAUGGAUAGAUUGUGGUAUAGUCAUACAAUAGAUUACUAUAUGACAAUGAAGAUGAAUAAACUACUCCUACAAGCCCCAAUGUGGAUGAAUCUCACACAUAGAGUUUGAACAAAAAGAAGGCAGACACAAAAAGAUACUUUUUUUUUUUAUAAAG
Long non-coding RNA from Herpailurus yagouaroundi (jaguarundi), 1704 nucleotides. RefSeq lists it as uncharacterized. The transcript has 2 exons. The record is from RefSeq and is a predicted model, not a curated record. Lineage: Eukaryota; Metazoa; Chordata; Mammalia; Carnivora; Felidae.